RNAcentral lists this ribosomal RNA (254 nucleotides) under uncultured bacterium. RNAcentral's name for it is "partial 16S ribosomal RNA". It matches the Rfam family "Bacterial small subunit ribosomal RNA", at positions 524 to 776 of the family's 1533-position model. The record is from RNAcentral.
UACGGGGGGAGCAAGCGUUGUUCGGAUUUACUGGGCGUAACGGGCGCGUAGGCGGCCUCCGCAAGUCGACUGUGAAAUCUCCGGGCUUAACCCGGAAAGGUCAGCCGAAACUGCGGGGCUAGAGUGCAGAAGGGGCAACUGGAAUUCUCGGUGUAGCGGUGAAAUGCGUAGAUAUCGAGAGGAACACCUGCGGCGAAGGCGGGUUGCUGGGCUGACACUGACGCUGAAGCGCGAAAGCUAGGGGAGCGAACGGG